This 128-nucleotide ribosomal RNA is filed under the name uncultured eukaryote. RNAcentral describes it as "partial small subunit ribosomal RNA". It matches the Rfam family "Eukaryotic small subunit ribosomal RNA", at positions 1651 to 1767 of the family's 1831-position model. The record is from RNAcentral.
CCCUGCCAUUUGUACACACCGCCCGUCGCUCCUACCGAUUGAAUGGUCCGGUGAAAUCUUCGGAUUUCGGGAGUUUGUUGCAGUUGGCUCUGCUGGCUGCAUCGCCUGAGAGAAGUUGAUUAAACCUU